RNAcentral lists this ribosomal RNA (253 nucleotides) under uncultured bacterium. Its description in RNAcentral is "partial 16S ribosomal RNA". It matches the Rfam family "Bacterial small subunit ribosomal RNA", at positions 524 to 776 of the family's 1533-position model. The record is from RNAcentral.
UACGGAGGGGGCUAGCGUUGUUCGGAAUUACUGGGCGUAAAGCGCACGUAGGCGGCUUUGCAAGUCAGAGGUGAAAGCCCGGGGCUCAACCCCGGAAUUGCCUUUGAGACUGCAUCGCUAGAACGUCGGAGAGGUGAGUGGAAUUCCGAGUGUAGAGGUGAAAUUCGUAGAUAUUCGGAGGAACACCGGUGGCGAAGGCGGCCUGCUGGGCUAUGGCUGACACUGAGGCGCGACAGCGUGGGGAGCAAACAGG